GGAGCGGUAGUUCAGCCGGUUAGAAUGCCUGCCUGUCACGCAGGAGGUCACGGGUUCGAUUCCCGUCCGUUCCGCCA
Molecule: transfer RNA, 77 nt
Filed under: Candidatus Avisuccinivibrio stercorigallinarum
Lineage: Bacteria; Pseudomonadati; Pseudomonadota; Gammaproteobacteria; Aeromonadales; Succinivibrionaceae
Description: tRNA-Asp
Rfam family: tRNA
About the family: Transfer RNA (tRNA) molecules are approximately 80 nucleotides in length. Their secondary structure includes four short double-helical elements and three loops (D, anti-codon, and T loops). Further hydrogen bonds mediate the characteristic L-shaped molecular structure. tRNAs have two regions of fundamental functional importance: the anti-codon, which is responsible for specific mRNA codon recognition, and the 3' end, to which the tRNAs corresponding amino acid is attached (by aminoacyl-tRNA synthetases). tRNAs cope with the degeneracy of the genetic code in two manners: having more than one tRNA (with a specific anti-codon) for a particular amino acid; and 'wobble' base-pairing, i.e. permitting non-standard base-pairing at the 3rd anti-codon position.
Source: RNAcentral